UGGGAGGUGUUCUUCUGCUCUGCACUUCCAGCUCAAUGGGUUGCAGGCCUAGUAGCCUGGAAGUUGUCCAGCAGGGUCUGAGGGCGUUAGGAUCUGAGGGGUUUGAGGGCAGGGUGCUGACAGUGUCUGCUAUACUCCCCAGAGCGGAUGUAAGU
Non-coding RNA from Ceratotherium simum simum (southern white rhinoceros), 155 nucleotides. NCBI's taxonomy places the organism in Eukaryota, Metazoa, Chordata, Mammalia, Perissodactyla, Rhinocerotidae. The record is from RefSeq and is a predicted model, not a curated record.